GAAAUGCGAUAAGUAAUGUGAAUUGCAGAAUUCAGUGAAUCAUCGAAUCUUUGAACGCACAUUGCGCCCGCCAGUAUUCUGGCGGGCAUGCCUGUUCGAGCGUCAUUUCAACCAUCAAGCCCCCGGCUUGUGUUGGGGACCUGCGGCUGCCCGCAUGCCCUGAAAAACAGUGGCGGGCUCGCUGUCACACCGAGCGUAGUAGCAUACAUUCUCGCUCAGGGCGUGCUGCGGGUUCCGGCCGUUAAACGACCUUCAUAACCCAAGGUUGACCUCGGAUCAGGUAGGAAGACCCGCUGAACUUAAGC
RNAcentral lists this unclassified non-coding RNA (305 nucleotides) under plant metagenome. RNAcentral's name for it is "partial contains 5.8S ribosomal RNA, internal transcribed spacer 2, and large subunit ribosomal RNA". The stretch from base 1 to 105 matches the Rfam family "5.8S ribosomal RNA", at positions 50 to 154 of the family's 154-position model. The record is from RNAcentral.